This is a long non-coding RNA of Hydractinia symbiolongicarpus, 1997 nucleotides long. RefSeq lists it as uncharacterized. NCBI's taxonomy places the organism in Eukaryota, Metazoa, Cnidaria, Hydrozoa, Anthoathecata, Hydractiniidae. The record is from RefSeq and is a predicted model, not a curated record. The transcript has 3 exons.
GGUGACUUUUUCGAAUCUGAAUGAACUAGAUAAUCAAAGAUGGCAAUGCCUUUUACAAUUUGUUAGCUGACGGUCAAUCCAAUCACCUGGUCGCAAUGCCACUUACAGCAAGGUAUCAGCAAUGGAUUGUGGUCAAACAAGUAAUGCAAAGACGUAGAAACCCCUGGCAUACUCAAAGCCCAACAAACGAUUUGUGGCAGAGGUUGUUAAAGUCAAUAAAAGACUAUAGUGACUGGUUGCAGAAAAGACCUAAUUGAGUGUGUGAUACUCUAUUGAAUGAAUUUUAGUUAGAUCAAGAAGAAGAUUAUUUUAAUUUUCUUUGGAUGUCUUCUGCUAAUACGCUCCACAGCGCUUCUUCCAACAUCCUUACACUGAUAAAAAUCUUGUUAAAUUCUUUGUUAUCCCUCUUUGAAGACAUAAUGUUUUUAAACGUCCUCCAGUAAUGUUUACUUUUUAUAUAUAGAAACUCACAUUUUUCUGAACGCACAUUUGAUGUACAGAUUUUAAGCAUUUAGAUUGAUUCAAAACCAUACAAUUUUUUAAAAAUCUCAUUCAAAAGUCUGACCAUGCCAAAAGCAUACAAUUUUUACAUGAUAAACGAUCCAAUUUGUCGAAUUGGACAAAUCGAAUUUGUUUAAUCGAAUCGUGUAUCACCGCAUUAACACGCUUCCACAUUUUCGAUUUCUCCUCAUUUCUGGAAAUCAGGAUAAUUGAUUUUCAAAAUUUCAUGUUAUAAAAUAAGUAGGGGGUCACAAGUGUUGUGUUUUUCAUUGACAAUAUAAGCAACACUUGUACUUUUUACAUUCUUUUGUUUAAAUAAUUCUGUAUUUAAGCUUUUCGAAAUUAUGAAACUUGCAAUUAAGACAAAAAGAGGUGUCUUUGAUGUGAGAAUAUGUUUUGCACUUUAUGUGAAUGUUUUCGCUAUUACUUUAGUACAUACACAAGAAAAAUUGCAAAGGCCAGUAAAGAAAUACUAUGUUUAAUUUUUUUUUAAUCUGACCGCAAAAACUAAGAGUAUAUACUCCUCUCGUUUUUUAGCCAAUAGCACCCUAAUUAUUAGUUCUAUGAAGGAACUUUUUAGACUUUUUUGACAAUGGGUUUUAAUCAGGAUGUUCCUGAAGUAUUUAAUGAUACCGUAAGGAAAAGUGAGCAUGAUUUUUUAAAUCACAAUAUCUUCUUCACAUUAAUUUAAUGUUUUUGUAUUAAUAUAUGGAAAAAUACUAACAUUUUUUAUAGGUUAAGUUUUUGUAUUAAAACGAAAAAUACAAGGAUUUAUAAGGUGGAGAAAAUUUGACCCCCUCCUUCACAUUCGAAGUUUCUUUCACAAAACCACUGAAUUUUUUCCACAUCUUUUUUGAUUAUCUUAUUCAGGAGUGAUGUAUCUAAAAUGGCUUUUCUUAAUUCUAAGUUGUUUUGUUUAAAUUUGCCUUUUUUAUCGAAAUUCAACUUUUGUAACUCAUAUUUUUACACCAACUCAUAUUCAUACACCAAAACUUUCAUCAGCGUUUUCAAAGCGAAAAAAUUCAAAAAACCAUUCAGGAUAUAUUAUUCAGCUUGAUUUUAAAAAUUUAUGUAAAAAAAGUCAAAAUGUGAGCACUACUUCACAAAAAAAUUAACAUAAAGAAAAAAAGUUUACAAAUUCUCAACGAUAAAUAACUUGCCACAUGACUUUGUUAAAAUCACCACAGAACGAUCACUUUAAGCGUGCUGCUUGCAGGUUUUAUUUUGAGAAUGAUAUUAAACUUUAUUCAAUUAUUCUUUUUCUUUCUGUAUGCACGUGUUUAGAUUUAAAAAGUGAAUAUGACUGAAAACAAAAAUAAUAAAGAGACUUCAAUUGGUGAAAUGAAAGGUGUUGGAUAUGAGAGUUUGGUCUUCGUGACGGGACUUAAAUUCGGUAUUUUCAAGACAAAAACAAGGAAAAACAAAAAACAAUUCCACCACACACAUUAUUAAAUAUGGGUAAGUCGCUAUAUCAAAAACGAGAGUUGGCACCAGGU